GACGAACCGUGCGAACGUUGUUCGGAAUCACUGGGCUUAAAGGGCGCGUAGGCGGUCGGGCAAGUCCGGGGUGAAAUCCUGCAGCUCAACUGUAGAAGUGCCUUGGAUACUGCCCGGCUCGAGGGAGGUAGGGGUCUGUGGAACUUCUGGUGGAGCGGUGAAAUGCGUUGAUAUCAGAAGGAACGCCGGUGGCGAAAGCGACAGACUGGACCUCUUCUAACGCUGGGGCGCGAAAGCUAGGGGAGCAAACGGG
RNAcentral lists this ribosomal RNA (253 nucleotides) under uncultured bacterium. Its description in RNAcentral is "partial 16S ribosomal RNA". It matches the Rfam family "Bacterial small subunit ribosomal RNA", at positions 524 to 776 of the family's 1533-position model. The record is from RNAcentral.